Molecule: transfer RNA, 72 nt
Filed under: Heterocephalus glaber (naked mole-rat)
Lineage: Eukaryota; Metazoa; Chordata; Mammalia; Rodentia; Bathyergidae
Rfam family: tRNA
About the family: Transfer RNA (tRNA) molecules are approximately 80 nucleotides in length. Their secondary structure includes four short double-helical elements and three loops (D, anti-codon, and T loops). Further hydrogen bonds mediate the characteristic L-shaped molecular structure. tRNAs have two regions of fundamental functional importance: the anti-codon, which is responsible for specific mRNA codon recognition, and the 3' end, to which the tRNAs corresponding amino acid is attached (by aminoacyl-tRNA synthetases). tRNAs cope with the degeneracy of the genetic code in two manners: having more than one tRNA (with a specific anti-codon) for a particular amino acid; and 'wobble' base-pairing, i.e. permitting non-standard base-pairing at the 3rd anti-codon position.
Source: Rfam by way of RNAcentral
AGGGAUGUAGCUCAGUGCGAGAGCACGUGCCUGGCAUACACAAGGCCAUGGGUUCAAUCCCCAGCAACACAA